CUGCCCAAUGAUUAAUUAUUUAAUGGCUGCAGUAUAAAUAACUGUACAAAGGUAGCAUAAUAAUUAGUUUUUUAAUUAAAAACUAGAAUGAAAGAUUUAAUGAAAUAAAAACUGUUUCAACAAAAAAAAUUAAAUUUAUUAUUUAAGUUAAAAAACUUAAAUUUUAUUAAAAGACGAUAAGACCCUAUAGAAUUUUAUUAAUUUUUAAAUAUUAUACUAAUUAAUUAAAUUUUUCAAUUUAAAAAAUAAUUUAAUUGGGGUAAUUAAAAAACUUAAAUAAUUUUUUUAAAAAAUACAUUAAUUUAUGAAUUAAAAAUCCUAUUAAUUUAGAUUAUUAAAUUAAAUUACCUUAGGGAUAACAGCAUAAUUUUUUUUGAAAGUUCUUAUUUAUAAAAAAGAUUAUGACCUCGAUGUUGAAUUAAGAUAAAAUAAUAAAGAAAAAAUUAUUUAUUUUAAGUCUGUUCGACU
Molecule: ribosomal RNA, 468 nt
Filed under: Rhyssalus clavator
Lineage: Eukaryota; Metazoa; Arthropoda; Insecta; Hymenoptera; Braconidae
Description: partial 16S ribosomal RNA
Source: RNAcentral